GCCUGUUAGAGUUACUACAAUAUAUGAAGAAUUGUUCCUGAACCUAUUCAUUGUAUAUUUGAGUCCAGGGCUACUGAUAUAUUUCUUGAGUCAAAAACAGAGAGAGAAUUCAGAUUAUGUGCCUGUUAGUCAACAAUCAGAGGAUGACAAGCCUAACACAGCAGAUGAUGAUGAAUUAACUGAACUUACUCCACCUGAAGCUUAAAAAAUAACCUAAUAAACCAGGAUUAUGGACAUGGAGGUGAUUUUCACAGAAGAAAGGAAGAGUGAAUUAAUAUACAACAUAUUAAAUAAAGUGAAGGUUACAUUUUGUAAUCAUUUUAGUAGUUAAGAC
Molecule: long non-coding RNA, 334 nt
Organism: Limulus polyphemus (Atlantic horseshoe crab)
Lineage: Eukaryota; Metazoa; Arthropoda; Merostomata; Xiphosura; Limulidae
Exons: 3
Source: RefSeq, a predicted model, not a curated record